AGCAGCCGCGGUAAUUCCAGCUCCAAUAGCGUAUAUUAAAGUUGUUGCAGUUAAAAAGCUCGUAGUUGAAUUUCGGGAUUGACGUGAUGGUCGUGCCUUACGGGGUAUGAACUGUUGCAGUCAAUUUCUCACCUUCUGGAGAAAUAUGAUGUCCUUAAUUGGGUGUCAUAUGGAACCAGGACUUUUACCUUGAAAAAUUAGAGUGUUUAAAGCAGGCUUAUUGCUCGAAUACAUUAGCAUGGAAUAAUAAAAUAGGACGGCAUGGUUCUAUUUUGUUGGUUUCUAGGAUCACCGUAAUGAUUAAUAGGGAUAGUUGGGGGCAUUAGUAUUCAAUUGUCAGAGGUGAAAUUCUUGGAUUUAUUGAAGACUAACUACUGCGAAAGCAUUUGCCAAGGAUGUUUUCAUUAAUCAAGAACGAAAGUUAGGGGAUCGAAGACGAUCAGAUACCGUCGUAGUCUUAACCAUAAACUAUGCCGACUAGGAAUCAGACGAUGUUAAUUUUUAAUGUACUCGUUG
RNAcentral lists this unclassified non-coding RNA (516 nucleotides) under uncultured Entrophospora. RNAcentral's name for it is "SSU rRNA". It matches the Rfam family "Eukaryotic small subunit ribosomal RNA", at positions 569 to 1081 of the family's 1831-position model. The record is from RNAcentral. Lineage: Eukaryota; Fungi; Glomeromycota; Glomeromycetes; Entrophosporales; Entrophosporaceae.